GAAGGCAGCAGGCGCGCAAAUUACCCAAUGAAAACAGUUUCGAGGUAGUGACGAGAAAUAACAAUACGGGGCAUUAAAUGCUUUGUAAUUGGAAUGAUGGGGAUGUAAAACCCCCUCAGAGUAACGAUUGGAGGGCAAGUCUGGUGCCAGCAGCCGCGGUAAUUCCAGCUCCAAUAGUGUAUAUUAGAGUUGUUGCAGUUAAAAAGCUCGUAGUUGGAUUUCUGCUAUGAUAGUCUGAGACCACCCUUCGGGGCGGUGCGAGGAUUGAUCGUGGCAUAUUUCUGGUGGCCCCCAGCGAUGCUUAAUUGCGUGGCCGGGGGUGUUCCGGAACUUUUACUUUGAGAAAAAUAGAGUGUUUCAAGCAGGCUUGUCGCCUUGAAUACUGCA
RNAcentral lists this ribosomal RNA (387 nucleotides) under Lankesterella sp. (in: apicomplexans). RNAcentral describes it as "bacterial SSU rRNA". It matches the Rfam family "Eukaryotic small subunit ribosomal RNA", at positions 421 to 806 of the family's 1831-position model. The record is from RNAcentral. Lineage: Eukaryota; Apicomplexa; Conoidasida; Eucoccidiorida; Lankesterellidae.